GGCGAACGCUGGCGGCGUGCUUAACACAUGCAAGUCGAACGAAGAGCGAUGGAAGCUUGCUUCUAUCAAUCUUAGUGGCGAACGGGUGAGUAACGCGUAAUCAACCUGCCCUUCAGAGGGGGACAACAGUUGGAAACGACUGCUAAUACCGCAUACGAUCCAAUCUCGGCAUCGAGGAUGGAUGAAAGGUGGCCUCUAUUUAUAAGCUAUCACUGAAGGAGGGGAUUGCGUCUGAUUAGCCAGUUGGAGGGGUAACGGCCCACCAAGGCGAUGAUCAGUAGCCGGUCUGAGAGGAUGAACGGCCACAUUGGGACUGAGACACGGCCCAGACUCCUACGGGAGGCAGCAGUAGGGAAUCUUCCGCAAUGGACGAAAGUCUGACGGAGCAACGCCGCGUGAGUGAUGACGGCCUUCGGGUUGUAAAGCUCUGUUAAUCGGGACGAAAGGCCUUCUUGCGAAUAGUUAGAAGGAUUGACGGUACCGGAAUAGAAAGCCACGGCUAACUACGUGCCAGCAGCCGCGGUAAUA
RNAcentral lists this ribosomal RNA (528 nucleotides) under uncultured Veillonella sp. Its description in RNAcentral is "bacterial SSU rRNA". It matches the Rfam family "Bacterial small subunit ribosomal RNA", at positions 28 to 525 of the family's 1533-position model. The record is from RNAcentral. Lineage: Bacteria; Bacillati; Bacillota; Negativicutes; Veillonellales; Veillonellaceae.